Molecule: ribosomal RNA, 454 nt
Filed under: uncultured bacterium
Lineage: Bacteria
Description: bacterial SSU rRNA
Rfam family: Bacterial small subunit ribosomal RNA
Source: RNAcentral
CGCUGGCGGCGUGCCUAACACAUGCAAGUCGAACGGGGCACCUUCGGGUCAACUUAGUGGCGAACGGGUGAGUAACGCGUGAGGAACCUACCUUCCAGUGGGGGACAACAGUUGGAAACGACUGCUAAUACCGCAUAACACAACGAGACCGCAUGAUCUUGUUGUCAAAGCUUUAUGUGCUGGAAGAUGGCCUCGCGUCUGAUUAGCUAGUUGGUGGGGUAACGGCCUACCAAGGCGACGAUCAGUAGCCGGACUGAGAGGUUGAACGGCCACAUUGGGACUGAGAUACGGCCCAGACUCCUACGGGAGGCAGCAGUGGGGAAUAUUGGGCAAUGGGGGAAACCCUGACCCAGCAACGCCGCGUGAAGGAAGAAGGCCUUCGGGUUGUAAACUUCUUUUACCAGGGACGAAGAACGUGACGGUACCUGGAGAAAAAGCAACGGCUAACUACGUG